RNAcentral lists this transfer RNA (74 nucleotides) under Cryptomonas paramaecium. RNAcentral describes it as "Cryptomonas paramecium tRNA-Arg". It matches the Rfam family "tRNA". Rfam says of the family: Transfer RNA (tRNA) molecules are approximately 80 nucleotides in length. Their secondary structure includes four short double-helical elements and three loops (D, anti-codon, and T loops). Further hydrogen bonds mediate the characteristic L-shaped molecular structure. tRNAs have two regions of fundamental functional importance: the anti-codon, which is responsible for specific mRNA codon recognition, and the 3' end, to which the tRNAs corresponding amino acid is attached (by aminoacyl-tRNA synthetases). tRNAs cope with the degeneracy of the genetic code in two manners: having more than one tRNA (with a specific anti-codon) for a particular amino acid; and 'wobble' base-pairing, i.e. permitting non-standard base-pairing at the 3rd anti-codon position. The record is from RNAcentral. Lineage: Eukaryota; Cryptophyceae; Cryptomonadales; Cryptomonadaceae.
GUGCAUAUGGUCUAGUUGGAUAAGACGUUGGCCUACGGAACCAAAGAUUGCGAGUUCAAAUCUCGUUAUGCAUA